CCUACGGGAGGCAGCAGUGGGGGAUAUUUCACAAUGGGGGAAACCCUGAUGCAGCGACGCCGCGUGGGUGAAGAAGCGCCUCGGCGCGUAAAGCCCUGUCAGCAGGGAAGAAAAUGACGGUACCUGAAGAAGAAGCCCCGGCUAACUACGUGCCCGCAGCCGCGGUAAUACGUAGGGGGCAAGCGUUAUCCGGAUUUACUGGGUGUAAAGGGGGCGCAGACGGCGAGGCAAGCCAGGAGUGAAAGCCCGGGGCCCAACCCCGGGACUGCGCUUGGAACUGCGUGGCGAGAGUGCAGGAGGGGCAGGCGGAAUUCCUGGUGUAGCGGUGAAAUGCGUAGAUAUCAGGAGGAACACCGGUGGCGAAGGCGGCCUGCUGGACUGCAACUGACGUUGAGGCCCGAAAGCGUGGGGAGCAAACAGGAUUAGAUACCCUGGUAGUC
RNAcentral lists this ribosomal RNA (440 nucleotides) under uncultured bacterium. RNAcentral describes it as "partial 16S ribosomal RNA". It matches the Rfam family "Bacterial small subunit ribosomal RNA", at positions 338 to 795 of the family's 1533-position model. The record is from RNAcentral.